This 305-nucleotide ribosomal RNA is filed under the name uncultured bacterium. RNAcentral's name for it is "bacterial SSU rRNA". It matches the Rfam family "Bacterial small subunit ribosomal RNA", at positions 335 to 632 of the family's 1533-position model. The record is from RNAcentral.
UUGCCUACGGGACGCAGCAGUAGGGAAUAUUGCGCAAUGGGCGAAAGCCUGACGCAGCGACGCCGCGUGAGGGAUGAAGGUCUUCGGAUCGUAAACCUCUGUCAGCAGGGAAGAACGGUCACUGUGCUAAUCAGCAGUGAAUUGACGGUACCUGCAAAGGAAGCACCGGCUAACUCCGUGCCAGCAGCCGCGGUAAUACGGAGGGUGCGAGCGUUAAUCGGAAUUACUGGGCGUAAAGCGCUCGUAGGCGGUAUGUCAAGUCAAGGGUGAGAUGCCCGCGCUCAACGUGGGCACUGCCUUUGAAC